AAACGCAUAAUUGCUCCCACCUCUCCCACCGCACCGCACCGCACCACCGGACCACCGCACUGCCAAACACUUUCGGAAUGACUUUGGAAGCUUCUUCUCCCUUUGGUCCACCACCGAACCGUUUCGGAAUGAGUUUGGAAGCUUCCUCUACCUUUGGUCCACCACCGAACCGAUUCCUCUACAAACCGUGUUUCCUUUGUGCAAAGUGUGUUUCGAUUGCUUUCCGCAAGGAUCGAUUUGUUCAUUUCAUAUACUCUUGCUUAAUUUUGUCGUUGAUUUUGUUUAAUUUUGUCGUUGAUUUUGUUUCCGUGGUGAUUUUUGUUUUCUUCUUAAUUUUCUCAAUCUAUACUCAAAUUUGGACUCUCUCUUUAUUGAACGUGAUAGAACGGUGGAGUGGAGAGGUGUUGGUUAAUUGAAAAGAUGGAUGGUGAUGAAGGAAAAGGAUUAGGAGUGAGAGAGGUUGGUGAUCUUUGUACAAUGCUUCUCUCUUCUCAACUUCCUUUACAAUAUUUCUUUCUUCUAAUAUAAUAUUUUCCAAAUUUCCCAUUUAUUUGAGCCUGAGACAGAUUUAUUUUGGAUCUUAUCAAUAACCUUCCUAGGUUCUCACUAAAAUUUGUCUUUUAUUUUCUAAAAGUUUACAAAAAAUAGGUGUUUUCUAUAAUACAGAUCAUCUAGGUGAAGCUUUGAAAUAUGCCUACCUUGAGCUUUCAAAUUAAAACAAUGUUUUAUAUUUUCUUGUGUAUGAAAAUAGGCUUUUCACAAUGUCCUCUCCUAAUGUGAUGUGAGAAUCUCUUUGAAAUUUAUAAUUCUGCUCUCAGCAUUUGCACAAUAACUAUUGUAGUAAAGUCCAGCAUACCAGAAUGGAUGCUUGUGAUUUUUUUUAUUUGGUUCCAUAGAAAGUGGAGAAAAUAAUCAGAGGAGAAAGAGAGAGGAACAAAGAAGAAAGAUACAAGCUCCGGUGCCAUGCAACUCCCUUAGGCUAACCUUUUUCUGUUUCUAUGUUAGUUUUAUUGAUUAUAAGUUUUCUUGGUUUUUUAAGAUAGCUUUGGCUGGUAGUCUGUUGCUAGUUGGGCACAACAUAAAGUAGCUAUUAUUGUGCAUAGUUUUUAGAUGUAUCACUUGGAAGUGCUGUUUGCUUUGAGUUUUUAUUUGACAUUUUUUUCUCUUGUUAUGAAAUUCUGGUUACCUUUUCCUUGCUGCCACAGUGCCAGUGACCUCUCUGUGCAACCUUCAUUUCGUGGUGGUUAUCUGGCCUUUACAUUGCUUGUAAUUGAAUUACCGUAAUUCUAUUAUAUAACUCUUGCUAAUGAUGGAGUUCCAUAAGAAUAAGAAUUUCCAUAGUUUAUGAAUAGUAACUGAAAUAUUGAGCCGUAUCUAAACCUUUAUCUUCUGAUAUGGUUAAACAGUAGUUGUGAUGUCUUAAACUUACCUUACCAGCAUGCUUGCAAAAACAGAACCUAAUGAUAUAUUGAAUUCAUAAAAUUUGUUGGUUUAAUUAUGGGUAAAUCUGAAUCAUGCUUAGCAUUGUAAAAUAUAUUCUCUUGUUGAUUUUUUUUUCUUUGUGUUUCUUAAAUUAUUUGUCUGCUACGUACUAUACUUCAUAUUAGCAUCUGAUAUUGCACUUAUUAAUUCUCUUUAACAUUUCUUAUGCUCUGAA
This 1657-nucleotide long non-coding RNA is filed under the name Phaseolus vulgaris (common bean). RNAcentral's name for it is "long non-coding RNA (PVUL_LNC002274)". The record is from RNAcentral. Lineage: Eukaryota; Viridiplantae; Streptophyta; Magnoliopsida; Fabales; Fabaceae.